UACGGGAGGCAGCAGUGGGGAAUAUUGCACAAUGGGCGCAAGCCUGAUGCAGCCACGCCGCGUGUAUGAAGAAGGCCUUCGGGUUGUAAAGUACUUUCAGUCGUGAGGAAGGUGUUAAGGUUAAUAACCUUAGCAAUUGACGUUAGCGACAGAAGAAGCACCGGCUAACUCCGUGCCAGCAGCCGCGGUAAUACGGAGGGUGCGAGCGUUAAUCGGAAUUACUGGGCGUAAAGGGCACGCAGGCGGUUAAUUAAGUUGGAUGUGAAAUCCCCGGGCUUAACCUGGGAAUGGCAUUCAAGACUGGUUAGCUAGAGUCUUGUAGAGGGGGUAGAAUUCCAUGUGUAGCGGUGAAAUGCGUAGAGAUGUGGAGGAAUACCGGUGGCGAAGGCGGCCCCUGGACAAAGACUGACGCUCAUGUGCGAAAGCGUGGGGAGCAAACAGGGAUUAGAUACC
This 453-nucleotide ribosomal RNA is filed under the name uncultured bacterium. Its description in RNAcentral is "bacterial SSU rRNA". It matches the Rfam family "Bacterial small subunit ribosomal RNA", at positions 340 to 786 of the family's 1533-position model. The record is from RNAcentral.